GCUGGGUGUGGUGGCUCACGCCUGUAAUCCCAACACUGGGAGGCCAAGACAGGAGGAUUGCUUGAGCUCAGGAGUUCAAGACUAGCCUGGGCAACAUAGUGAGACCCUGUCUCUA
Pongo abelii (Sumatran orangutan) is the source of this 115-nucleotide unclassified non-coding RNA. It matches the Rfam family "Metazoan signal recognition particle RNA". From Rfam's summary of the family: The signal recognition particle (SRP) is a universally conserved ribonucleoprotein. It is involved in the co-translational targeting of proteins to membranes. NCBI's taxonomy places the organism in Eukaryota, Metazoa, Chordata, Mammalia, Primates, Hominidae. The record is from Ensembl.